AGUGAAAACCCUACUUCUUCCAUCUCACCUGCGCCGCUCACCAGCCUCGCCUAUCCUCCACCUGCACCUGCGCCGCUCAGCCCCUCCGGCCUUCCCCACCUCCGGUCUGCUGCAGAGCAGAGCAGCGUGAGCAUAGCAGCGCACGCCGCACCUCCUUCCACCUCCGGUAGCAGCCCCUCCGGCAGCAGCCCCUCCGGCCUUCCCCACCUCCGGUCUGCUGCAGAGCAAAGCAGCAUGAGCAGCAGCAGCGCACCUGAAAUCUCCUUCCUUGAGGCAGUGGUUUGAGAGGCAGAUCGUUUUGGGAUCGAGGCAGACAAUCCCAAAUCACCUGAAUUCUCAAGAAAAAGAGGGUAAACAAAACUCACAUAGAUGAGAACAUUCUUCAAGAGUUGUUAGUUGUCUGAAAAGUUUUUGGCAGAUCGAGCAAGUCAAAGGUCUUCUCAUACUGCUUUGCCUCAAUCCCAAAUCCAUCUCACAGAAUGUGUUUGAGAGACAGAGACAUAAAAUUGAUUGUAUGUCUCACAGAAAUAAUCCCAAAUCCAUCUCACAGAAUGUGUUUGAGAGGCAGAUCGUUUCAAUAUUAGGAUUAUUAUGAAUUUUAUUUUAAUAUUUAAUUAGCUUAGAAUUUAUUUUGUAAAAUACUAUGGAUCCGGGUCUGGACCCGAGAUCCAGUGGAUCUCAUGGAUCUGGGUCUGGAUCUCAUUUUUUUGGAUCCAAUGGAUCUGGACCGGAUCUGGAUCUAAAUAAAAAAACAUGGAUCUGGAUCUGGACCAAGCAGGAUCCGGUCCAGAUCCGGCCCAUUGCCAUUCCUA
This 812-nucleotide long non-coding RNA is filed under the name Salvia miltiorrhiza (redroot sage). RNAcentral's name for it is "long non-coding RNA (SMIL_LNC007437)". Lineage: Eukaryota; Viridiplantae; Streptophyta; Magnoliopsida; Lamiales; Lamiaceae. The record is from RNAcentral.